This 400-nucleotide RNase P RNA is filed under the name Bacteroidota bacterium. RNAcentral describes it as "Bacteroidetes bacterium (sediment metagenome) RNase P RNA component class A". It matches the Rfam family "Bacterial RNase P class A". From Rfam's summary of the family: Ribonuclease P (RNase P) is a ubiquitous endoribonuclease, found in archaea, bacteria and eukarya as well as chloroplasts and mitochondria. Its best characterised activity is the generation of mature 5'-ends of tRNAs by cleaving the 5'-leader elements of precursor-tRNAs. Cellular RNase Ps are ribonucleoproteins. The record is from RNAcentral. Lineage: Bacteria; Pseudomonadati; Bacteroidota.
GAAGUGGGUUGUUCUAUCGCCGUGGGUCGUAAAGGCCGAUGGAGGAAAGUCCGGGCAACGCAGAGCACCAUGCUUCCUAACAGGAAGAUACUCGUGAGAGUAUAGUAGUGUAACAGAAAAUAACCGUCUCGCUUCGGCGGGAUAAGGGUGAAAAGGUGGGGUAAGAGCCCACCGGUUCUGAUGGUGACAUCAGAAGCCGUACACCUCAUGGGUUGCAAGGCCAUGUAUAUCUCAAUAAUUCGAAUGAAUUGCAGGGCUGCUCGUCCUGUUUUUUUGCCUUGGGCAAAAAAGUUGAGAAGGGUAGGCCGCAUGACCCUGUUGGCAACAGCAGGGCUAGAUAAAUGAUAGAAGUCACGCCCAAAGCGUGAUACAGAACCCGGCUUAUAGACCCGCUUCUUUA